GCAGCUGGCAGCGUGACUCGCGGAGAGAGAGAGCUCCCCCGGUCGAAACGUACGCCUGGGUGCCCGGGACGUUUCGACCCGGCAGGCCCGCCACGCGUGGGCGGGCAGGCGGGCGGCGCAGGAACCCAGGCUGCUCACGCGGCGAAGCGAACCACCGGGGCAUACGUAUACGUACGCAGCUAGUAGCUCCCCGCUAGAGUGGCAGCGCACGGCUCCAGCGAGCCCCGGCCAACGGCGGGUCGACACGUCGUCGCUGCGCCGGGUCCCAUCCACGUGUAGGCGCCCCGAGCACCGGCUGGGUCCUAUAAACGGGGGGAGGUAGCUCGCCGGCCGGGUGAGUAGCCAACUUGGCCCUGUUCGUCCGCGGCCAUGCAGUGCAGGUCAGUGGACGGGAGCUGGGGUUUGGUUUCUUGCCGUUUCCUCGCCAACAAAUUCUGUCUGGUCUUUCUCUUUCCCCAUUUUGGAAACUUUGUAGAAUGUGUGUGUGUGUGUUCUCUUGCCAACAAGUUCAGGUUUCGUGCUCUGUUAAGUGUCCAACUUAGCUAGGCGUCGGCCUGAGAUCAGUGGGUGCGUGUGUUGAGAUUUGUGCUCUCUUUGUUGUCUUGGCCGUGUUCUCGCUAAUUCCGUGCGCGCGCGCGUGUGGUGCGGAGCGAGCUAGCGGCCGGGGUUUCGCUUGAUUCCCUCACGAAACGAGAAACAGAAGAAGAAUUAUGAGAUCUGUUCACGGACAACACUGAGCUACUGAAAUUUACCACGCCACGCUCCACGAUGCAGCGAUUAAUCAUACUUGGCUUAAUCAUACUUGCAUGAUUAGAGCUAGCGGGGUAUUUUGGCGCGAUGAACCUGUUUGGGCGAGGACGAGGGCGUGCAUGCGUUGCACUCGGCUUGCGCGCGAGGCUAAGAUCAAGGAACCAGGAUGGAGGCGCGCGCCCUCUCGGACUAGCUUUGAUCCGAGGAGGCGGCCGAGACUCGGCGUCGCGAGCGUGCCGCCAUUGCCGUGGGUGACCGAUGCUCUUAACAUUGAUGCGCGCUCCGUUCGUCCGCAGGCAGAUUGAUCAGGAAGAAGAAUCGCAAUGAAGACUUGCCGAAACGUGUUGUAAGCGCGGCACCAAGCUAGGUUCCUGAUGUCACAGGCUCAGUGGCAUUUGCUGGAAGGUCCACAAUUUUCAGAACUGAGGUUAGAUUUCUCCAUGCAUAUGCUUGUCCAUUACUUGGACAAUAUCCACAAGUAUAUACCUCUGCACACACAAGGCUGCGUCAUCUAUGCUUAAUUUAGUAAAUCUGCUAAUAGUUAAGUGCUCAUGAAUUAUCCUGAAACUACCAAGCCAACCACCACAAGUGGCCACCUGAAUUUAUUUUUGUUGACCUAUUAUCUACCAAUAUAUAGGAAACAUUCAGGCUCAUUGUCUUAAGAUGGGUAUUUUAUUGAGUGAUUUUCUUCGUUCUGCUUAAGAACAUAUAAUCAAAUGAGAACUCUUACACCUCAUCAAUGGAUACUUGCAGUAUCAGUUCAGGAGGAGAAAAACAUAUUUUUUGCUUGAGGAACGGAGAUUAAUUACGUUUAGUUGAGCACCCAGCUUGGGACUGCUGAAAGUAAUAUAAUUCUAAGUGUGUGCUACAUUUUUGGAGUAAUCUUAAGCUUAAUCGGGUGAAAUUAUGAGAGAAAGCACCGCAAUUUUUCAGCAACUUCUGUCAAUCACGACCCAGAAACUGGAAUCUCAUCAAUACAUAGCUUGACUACAGAAAAAGAAACGAAAGUUAACCUUCUUAGAUUCUGUAAUUCUCAGAGCAUCCUUUAGUAGUUUCUCCAGUUUCUCCAAACUACUGGCAUCUGAAUUGUCAGCAUUAUUAUCGAGAGACCUGCAGUUCAAUAAUAAUCAGCUAAAUGUCGAACACAAUAAAUGACGAACUGGGAAACAUUGUGAGAAGUCUCAAGGGCUACCAGGCAGCAAUCUCGCUAAGCCUUGACUGCAUAUUUGAAGGAUCUUCAUCCUAGUACAGAACAAAAGUAUCUUGUCAAAGAGGUAUAUGGGUAUAGAUGCUGUCAUACAAUUCGGCCAUGUAGGAUACGAAAUAGGUACUUACCACUACUACCUAGUCUUAGUACAUAGAUAGUUCGGUCAGAUAAAAGAGUAGCUACAUUUACAGAAUGUUACCCAUAUAGCAUCAAAUGUGCUGCAUUAGCUACACAAUUCUUGAUUACAGGCAUUAACAUCAUGCAUAGUGUGUUUCUAAUGCAACUAAAGGAUUAUAAACUGAGGAAUGCAACUGCAGUAUCAAAACCUUUCUGCUACACUCCUACAGGUUCCAUAAUUACACAGGCUGCAAGGUAUGCAUUGAUAAAAAGUGAUGUAAAUUGUUUUACGUUGCUGACAGUUGCAUCUUCUUGAAUCAAGUUCCUUCCGGGCACCGCAAAUUGCUGAUACCGGUCAUAUGUACCUUCAAUGCUGGAAACAAAACUUUGGCAUUAGAGAUUAUUGUAAAUUAAAAUUUGAAAAAUCACUAUACUUUCAAGUUUAAGGAUUUGCCGGCAUUUUCCAAAAAAAAUAAAAAAGAGGAAAACCCGAAAAGUAGAGCUCGUGUAUUUUUUUCUUAUAGUUUGGUUAUG
This is a long non-coding RNA of Triticum aestivum (bread wheat), 2608 nucleotides long. RefSeq lists it as uncharacterized. NCBI's taxonomy places the organism in Eukaryota, Viridiplantae, Streptophyta, Magnoliopsida, Poales, Poaceae. The record is from RefSeq and is a predicted model, not a curated record. The transcript is spliced from 3 exons.